This 311-nucleotide ribosomal RNA is filed under the name Panjange dinagat. RNAcentral's name for it is "partial 12S ribosomal RNA". The record is from RNAcentral. Lineage: Eukaryota; Metazoa; Arthropoda; Arachnida; Araneae; Pholcidae.
AAAGGCAUAAUAUAAACCAUUAUAUAAUGGUAGUCUUUACAUAUUAAAGAAGCUCGUCUUAUAAUCGUAAACACCCGAUAAAUUUCACUUAGUAAUUAUACAAGCUUAUAUACCGCCGUUAAGAAUAAACAACACAAACAAUUCUUCCCUUAUAUAUAUAUAAUAUCAGGUCAAGGUGUAGCUAACGACUAAGAAAAGAUAAGCUACAUAUAAAAACAAUUUAAGAAAGAAAGAAACAAAAAUAAACAGAAAAAGAAUUUAUACGUAAAUAAAUAAUUAAAACUUAAUAUAGAUCUCUACAAUAAAGAUGC